CCUACGGUAUGCAGCAGUGAGGAAUAUUUGUCAAUGGACGCAAGCCUGAACCCGCCAAGUAGCGUGAAGGAUGACUGCCCUAUGGGUUGUAAACAUCUUUUAUAUGGGAAUAAAACGUUCCACGUGUGGGAUUUUGGAUGUACCAUAUGAAUAAGGAUCGGCUAACUCCGUGCCAGCAGCCGCCGUAAUACGGAGGGUUCGCACGUUAUCCGGAUUUGUUGGGGUUAAAGGGCGCGUUGGUGGAAUGUUAAGUCCAUUGUGAAAGUGUGGGGCUCAACCGUAAAAUUGACGUUGAAACUGGCCGUCUUGAGUAAAGUAGAGGUAGGCGGAAUUCGUGGUGUAGCGGUGAAAUGCUUAGAUAUCACGAAGAACUCCGAUUGCGAAGGCAGUUCACUGGACUGCAACUGACACUGAGGCUCGAAAGUGUGGGUAUCAAACAGGAUUAGAUACCCGAGUAGUC
Molecule: ribosomal RNA, 460 nt
Filed under: uncultured bacterium
Lineage: Bacteria
Description: partial 16S ribosomal RNA
Rfam family: Bacterial small subunit ribosomal RNA
Source: RNAcentral